GAUGAAGAACGUAGCGAAAUGCGAUAAGUAAUGUGAAUUGCAGAAUUCAGUGAAUCAUCGAAUCUUUGAACGCACAUUGCGCCCGUCAGUAUUCUGGCGGGCAUGCCUGUUCGAGCGUCAUUACGCCCCUCAAGUCCCCUGUGGACUUGGUGUUGGGGAUCGGCGAGGCUGGUUUUCCAGCACAGCCGUCCCUUAAAUUAAUUGGCGGUCUCGCCGUGGCCCUCCUCUGCGCAGUAGUAAAACACUCGCAACAGGAGCCCGGCGCGGUCCACUGCCGUAAAACCCCCAACUUUUUAUAGUUGACCUCGAAUCAGGUAGGACUACUCGCUGAACUUAAGCAUAUCAAUAAGCGGAGGA
Molecule: unclassified non-coding RNA, 357 nt
Filed under: soil metagenome
Description: partial contains 5.8S ribosomal RNA, internal transcribed spacer 2, and large subunit ribosomal RNA
Rfam family: 5.8S ribosomal RNA (bases 1-120)
Source: RNAcentral